GCCUAUGUAGUGCUAAUGGUUAACAUGCGUCCUUGGUACGGAUGCGAAGAGAGUUCGAUUCUCUCCAUAGGCUC
RNAcentral lists this transfer RNA (74 nucleotides) under Streptomyces phage Beuffert. RNAcentral's name for it is "tRNA-Thr". It matches the Rfam family "tRNA". Rfam says of the family: Transfer RNA (tRNA) molecules are approximately 80 nucleotides in length. Their secondary structure includes four short double-helical elements and three loops (D, anti-codon, and T loops). The record is from RNAcentral. Lineage: Duplodnaviria; Heunggongvirae; Uroviricota; Caudoviricetes; Stanwilliamsviridae.